RNAcentral lists this ribosomal RNA (214 nucleotides) under uncultured bacterium. RNAcentral's name for it is "partial 16S ribosomal RNA". It matches the Rfam family "Bacterial small subunit ribosomal RNA", at positions 118 to 333 of the family's 1533-position model. The record is from RNAcentral.
UGAGCAAUCUGCCCUUCACAUCGGAAUAACCAUUGGAAACGAUGGCAAAUACCGAAUAUGACUUCGGAUCGCAUGAUCUGAAGUGGAAAGCUCCGGCGGUGAAGGAUGAGCUCGCGGCCUAUCAGCUUGUUGGUGGGGUGAUGGCCUACCAAGGCGAUGACGGGUAGCCGGCCUGAGAGGGCGACCGGCCACACUGGGACUGAGACACGGCCCA